Molecule: transfer RNA, 79 nt
Filed under: Pseudoleptotrichia goodfellowii F0264
Lineage: Bacteria; Fusobacteriati; Fusobacteriota; Fusobacteriia; Fusobacteriales; Leptotrichiaceae
Description: tRNA-Met
Rfam family: tRNA
About the family: Transfer RNA (tRNA) molecules are approximately 80 nucleotides in length. Their secondary structure includes four short double-helical elements and three loops (D, anti-codon, and T loops).
Source: RNAcentral
UCGCGGGAUAGAGCAGUCUGGUAGCUCGUCGGGCUCAUAACCCGAAGGUCGUUGGUUCGAAUCCGGCUCCCGCCACCAA